UCAGGGUGCGGUGGCCUGUGCCUGUAGUCCCAGCUACUCGGGAGGCUGAGGUGGGAGGAUCGCUUGAGCCCAGGAGUUCUGGGCUGUAGUGCGCUAUGCCGAUCAGGUGUCUGCACUAAGUUCGGCAUCAAUAUGGUGACCUCCCGGGAGCGGGGGACCACCAGGUUGCCUAAGGAGGGGUGAAUGGGCCUAGGUCGGAAAUGGAACAGGUCAAAACUCCCGUGCUGAUCAGUAGUGGGAUCCCGCCUGUGAAUAGCCACUGCACUCCAGCCUGGGCAACAUAGCGAGACCCUGUCUCU
Molecule: signal recognition particle RNA, 299 nt
Filed under: Aotus nancymaae (Ma's night monkey)
Lineage: Eukaryota; Metazoa; Chordata; Mammalia; Primates; Aotidae
Description: Metazoan signal recognition particle RNA (ENSANAG00000006234.1)
Rfam family: Metazoan signal recognition particle RNA
About the family: The signal recognition particle (SRP) is a universally conserved ribonucleoprotein. It is involved in the co-translational targeting of proteins to membranes.
Source: RNAcentral